This 468-nucleotide ribosomal RNA is filed under the name uncultured bacterium. RNAcentral's name for it is "partial 16S ribosomal RNA". It matches the Rfam family "Bacterial small subunit ribosomal RNA", at positions 28 to 507 of the family's 1533-position model. The record is from RNAcentral.
GACGAACGCUGGCGGCGUGCUUAACACAUGCAAGUCGAACGGAAAGGCCCUGCUUUUGUGGGGUGCUCGAGUGGCGAACGGGUGAGUAACACGUGAGUAACCUGCCCUUGACUUUGGGAUAACUUCAGGAAACUGGGGCUAAUACCGGAUAGGAGCUCCUGCUGCAUGGUGGGGGUUGGAAAGUUUCGGCGGUUGGGGAUGGACUCGCGGCUUAUCAGCUUGUUGUUGGGGUAGUGGCUUACCAAGGCUUUGACGGGUAGCCGGCCUGAGAGGGUGACCGGCCACAUUGGGACUGAGAUACGGCCCAGACUCCUACGGGAGGCAGCAGUGGGGAAUAUUGCACAAUGGGAGGAAGCCUGAUGCAGCAACGCCGCGUGCGGGAUGACGGCCUUCGGGUUGUAAACCGCUUUCGCCUGUGACGAAGCGUGAGUGACGGUAAUGGGUAAAGAAGCACCGGCUAACUACGUG